RNAcentral lists this ribosomal RNA (410 nucleotides) under uncultured microorganism. Its description in RNAcentral is "bacterial SSU rRNA". It matches the Rfam family "Bacterial small subunit ribosomal RNA", at positions 509 to 917 of the family's 1533-position model. The record is from RNAcentral.
CAGCCGCCGCGGUAAUACGUAGGGUGCGAGCGUUAAUCGGAUUUACUGGGCGUAAAGCGUGCGCAGGCGGCCCGUUAAGACAGGUGUGAAAUCCCUGGGCUCAACCUAGGAAUUGCGCUUGUGACUGGCGGGCUCGAGUACGGUAGAGGGGGGUGGAAUUCCUGGUGUAGCAGUGAAAUGCGUAGAGAUCAGGAGGAACACCGAUGGCGAAGGCAGCCCCCUGGGCCUGUACUGACGCUCAUGCACGAAAGCGUGGGGAGCAAACAGGACUAGAUACCCUGGUAGUCCACGCCCUAAACGAUGGGUACUAGCCGUUUGGUGCGCGAUAGCGCUGAGUGGCGAAGCUAACGCGUGAAGUACCCCGCCUGGGGAGUACGGCCGCAAGGUUGAAACUUAAAGGAAUUGGCGGG